UAUGUUGAUGUAUUUUUAUUGCCAGCAGUGAUGAUAUCUGAUGUCUUUACAAAUAUGUAAAUAAUUUUGGAGUCUGACAUCUGGUCCAAACACGUAAAUUGCCUUUUUUAGUACAUAGGACCCUGUAGCAGGGUCAUUGCCAUUGUAAAGGAGAUAAAUGUAUGUGCACAUGGGUAUUGUACUGUCAAGAUACCUGCACGCAUUUCUUAUUUUGGGGAAGCAUGUUGGGGUAUUGGAGUUAUCGCAAUAACGAGAUUGCUAAUAGCACAUAUGUCAAAACAUCAUAGCUGUAAUUACAGCUGGGAAACACAGACUUUUUUGGAAUACAGAUGUACCUGAAAACCAAACAAAUUGGACACCUCAUAUCAGUCAGAGUAUGUUGUUAGAGAUGAUUAGAUCCACAUGUUAUAGAUACAGUAUAAUAUAGUCACUGUACAGUAUUUUUAAUCCUUACUUGACUAACUUGUUAUCACAUGACUGUCUUCACUUCUUUUGGGUAAUCCCCGUUGCCUACAGCCUCGACUAUUGCAUUGUUUUAUUUGUGGACAUUCUUUAUCAGAAUAAAGGCUUGUGAUUGGUUCACUUGCUGUCUGUUUAAUCUUAGAGUAUCUUAACAUGAAAGCAGAAGCACCUGUAGCAGCACUUCCCUUUUAGACGACUUCACGCCUCCUCGCACCCCUGUGUGUAUCGAGAAUUUUGGGUUGCGGUAGCUGAGUGGUUUAAAGAUGCGCGUCCAACCUGCUCGCUUCAGUAAAACACACCGGGCACUACCAGCAGCAGCUCAGUGCUGUUAAGAUGUCUUGACCAGUAUGGAUAGAUGGAAACUGUGGUUUGUUCUUCUUCUGCCGAUAGCUUUUUAUACUGACAGCAAAGAUGUUAAGAUGCUACUUGUGAAAACAAUCGGGAGCAAACCAGAUGUCACUCCAAUAUGCACCAAUGAAACACAGAAUCCCAUCGUGUUUAUAGUUUGUAAUAUCAGAACAGAGAGAAGCACAGAAGAAUGCCGUGUGCUGUAUCGAGACAACUUUGUGCAUGAAUGUGACUCCAGAUUCAGACUUGUGACAGAGAAUCAGACUGAAUGUGACUCCAGAUUCAGACUUGUGACAGAGAAUCAUACUGUAUUCCUCCACCUGACCAGUUUAAAACCAGAGGAUAGUGGGAACUACACCUGUGAGUGUUCACAGUCUUUUGGAACAUAUAUUCUCCAACUGAAUAUCACUGUGGAAGAGGAUGAAGACCCCAGCAGCAAUACAAAAAUCCCUUACUUGUAUGCUGUAAUUGGUGUGUUUGCGCUCAUCAUAACCGGAGUUAUCCUCGGAGUCAUCCACAGAAAAACUCAACAUGGAAGACGAUCAGAGCCGCUGCACGAUCGUCCGAACACGGAACCAGGAGUCACUGAGCCGUACAUGACCUACAUUCAGAGAGAGAAUGAGCUUUAUUCUGCCAGUGUGUACAGUUACAUCAGUGCUAAUAAUUCAAACAUGUUCCCUUAAAAUGAAACAGAUUUAAGGAUGCGUUUGUAGAGUUUUAGUUUUAUAUUGUCUCUGAUGCAUAUUUUAAAUAAUAAAGGGCCUGUUGUCCAUAAACUGACUAUUUUGCUUUGCCAAAUACUCUGCAGUGCAUUUAAUCCUGAAACGAAGCUAAUUUUAUUCACAUUUUAUUUGAUGUGGUAAAUGGGCACUUCAAAUACAUUUCACUGUCUGGCAAAUAUGAUAAGAAUAAUUGAUCUAAUAAAUGCAUGGUUAAAACAAAGUCUACUCUUAUUAAUUUGAUUUCCGUUAUUUCGUUUGUCGAAUACCUGUAAAGUAAUAAUGAAAUAUAGGCUUUACUUUAAACAAACAUCUUGUGUGUCCCAUUGAUGCAAACAACUGUUAAGCUUUAGCACUUAAAUUCUGUCAUGAUUCAUGUGAUAUACAGUAUAAACCAUUACGUCAGCUUGAGUUAACACCAAGCAUCUCAACUUCCUGCAUGAACCUUCUUCCCCCACAACAUCUACCCCAAGGCUCUUCUCUGCAGCCACCACAAUGUUGCAAAUGCCUCCUUACCUCAUUUUCAGUCACAGCAACAUAAUGUAAUUUUUUUUUAACCUUUAAAGUAACAGCUUCAAAAUCAUUUUAAGGGUACAGCGUCUUGUAAUAGGGUGUAUUGUGUGUAAGCUUAGUGACAGGGUUGGAUUGCAGCUUUACAAACAUCUUUACUUCAACAUACAAAAAACAAAAAAACUCAUAACAUUACGACAUACUGAGUUUUGUUAAAUUGCUACAGACCUGGGAUUUUGAAUUAACAACAGUGGUGUUGCACUCAGAAACUGCGGGGGGCGCCGAAUCGCAUAAAAGCCCAUUUCUAC
This 2347-nucleotide long non-coding RNA is filed under the name Sparus aurata (gilthead seabream). Its description in RNAcentral is "lncRNA (ENSSAUG00010020352.1)". Lineage: Eukaryota; Metazoa; Chordata; Actinopteri; Spariformes; Sparidae. The record is from RNAcentral.